UGGGGAAUAUUGCACAAUGGGCGCAAGCCUGAUGCAGCAACGCCGCGUGAACGAUGAAGGUCUUCGGAUCGUAAAGUUCUGUUGCAGGGGAAGAUAAUGACGGUACCCUGUGAGGAAGCCCCGGCUAACUACGUGCCAGCAGCCGCGGUAAUACGUAGGGGGCAAGCGUUAUCCGGAUUCAUUGGGCGUAAAGCGCGCGUAGGCGGUCUGUUAGGUCAGGAGUCAAAUCUGGGGGCUCAACCCCUAUCCGCUCCUGAUACCGGCAGGCUUGAGUCUGGUAUGGGAAGGUGGAAUUCCAAGUGUAGCGGUGAAAUGCGCAGAUAUUUGGAAGAACACCAGUGGCGAAGGCGGCCUUCUGGGCCAUGACUGACGCUGAGGCGCGAAAGCUAGGGGAGCGAACAGG
Molecule: ribosomal RNA, 403 nt
Filed under: Verrucomicrobiota bacterium
Lineage: Bacteria; Pseudomonadati; Verrucomicrobiota
Description: Verrucomicrobia bacterium partial 16S ribosomal RNA
Rfam family: Bacterial small subunit ribosomal RNA
Source: RNAcentral